GCGUUGUUCGGAUUUACUGGGCGUAAAGCGCACGUAGGCGGAUCGUUAAGUCGGGGGUGAAAUCCUGGAGCUCAACUCCAGAACUGCCUUCGAUACUGGCGAUCUUGAGUCCGGAAGAGGUGAGUGGAACUCCUAGUGUAGAGGUGGAAUUCGUAGAUAUUAGGAAGAACACCAGUGGCGAAGGCGGCUCACUGGUCCGGUACUGACGCUGAGGUGCGAAAGCGUG
Molecule: ribosomal RNA, 226 nt
Filed under: uncultured bacterium
Lineage: Bacteria
Description: partial 16S ribosomal RNA
Rfam family: Bacterial small subunit ribosomal RNA
Source: RNAcentral